CGAGGUGAACAUGAGAGUUUGAUCCUGGCUCAGAACGAACGCUGGCGGCAUGCCUAACACAUGCAAGUCGGACGCCGCUGCCGCCUUCGGGCGGCAUGUGGAGUGGCGGACGGGUGAGUAACGCGUAGGAACCUGCCCGGAAGUGGGGGACAACCGCUGGAAACGGCGGCUAAUACCGCAUACGCCCCAAGGGGGAAAGGCUUCGGCCGCUUUCGGAGGGUCCUGCGUUCGAUUAGCUAGUCGGUGGGGUGACGGCUCACCGAGGCGACGAUCGAUAGCUGGUCUGAGA
Molecule: ribosomal RNA, 289 nt
Filed under: Alphaproteobacteria bacterium
Lineage: Bacteria; Pseudomonadati; Pseudomonadota; Alphaproteobacteria
Description: partial 16S ribosomal RNA
Rfam family: Bacterial small subunit ribosomal RNA
Source: RNAcentral